GUCAGGUGACCAAAGAGACUCUGGGAAUCUGAAGAUAUCACUGUUUCUACAUCCUGAUCCAUUUAACUGCCAAAGACAUAUGUAUGCACAUAUGUGAAUUAUAUUAAUAAGAUUACUCCAUAGCUUUUCUAACUGCAUCAACAACAGAGCCAAACUGAUAAAACAGCACGUGUGCCAAGCCAGAAGUUUUUUGCCAGCAAAAAGCUGCUGAUCUACAAAUAUCUCUUUAACAAUAUAUUUGUUUACUUCAUAAAUCAUCAGUAUGAAUGUUUAUAGCUUUCAUUGUUUGCCAUAUGAAUAUUUGUUUUCUUAAAAUGUCAAAAAUUGAACAAAAAGUGCAUUAAAAAUCUGUAAUUUAGAUUGAUAAGAGUUUUGCAAAUAAUUGUAAAUAGGUUAAUUGCAGUUACAGUGUUUAUAUUAUCAAAUAGGUUGUAUUUGGAUGGAUUUACUCUAUAUUUUUGUUUGUAGCAUUAUUCUUUUGAUUUCAUAGCUUCUAUUUGUGAUUUUGCUCUAACACUGGCCACUUUUUUAGUAUUCCACAUGGAAUUUAAUUGGCUCUUAGUAGGUUUUUAUUUAUUAUGAUUCUCUCAACAGGAAAUGUCAUUUUGGUCCAUCCUAACCGUAUCAUCCUAACAGUGAGCAUAAAUAUACGUGGUACCACGUGACAAUGAGUUUCAGAAAGCUGAUGGAAACCUCUGGAACACUGAAUGACCUUCAUUUUGAUGUUCAGUUAUGGAAAAUAAUUUUUUGUACUUUUUGUACAUUUUAUUAAGGCAUUAAAAAAUUAACCUGUUACAGUUUUUCUUGAUCGUUUUUGUUCGCUCGUGAUGUUUUUACAGGGUCUGUUUAGUUAGAAAUUAGCUAAAUCUGACAAAACCUCCUUUUGAAGAUAUAAGCACAUUAUAAAUGUUAUACUUUGAGUUAUAUAAUAUAAACCACUUGUUUUCCUCAUUUGGAUAAAAGUGUCAAAUGUCAAUAGAGCCAUGUUUAUGUAAAAAGUUGUCUAGUUUUAUAUGAGUGCUGUGUGUGUUCAGUAUUUUUCUAUGACUGACUCUUAAGGGUGUGGCUCAAGAU
Molecule: long non-coding RNA, 1074 nt
Filed under: Carassius auratus (goldfish)
Lineage: Eukaryota; Metazoa; Chordata; Actinopteri; Cypriniformes; Cyprinidae
Description: lncRNA (ENSCARG00000066765.1)
Source: RNAcentral